GAUGAACGCUGGCGGCGUGCCUAAUACAUGCAAGUCGAGCGAACAGACGAGGAGCUUGCUCCUCUGACGUUAGCGGCGGACGGGUGAGUAACACGUGGAUAACCUACCUAUAAGACUGGGAUAACUUCGGGAAACCGGAGCUAAUACCGGAUAAUAUAUUGAACCGCAUGGUUCAAUAGUGAAAGACGGUUUUGCUGUCACUUAUAGAUGGAUCCGCGCCGCAUUAGCUAGUUGGUAAGGUAACGGCUUACCAAGGCAACGAUGCGUAGCCGACCUGAGAGGGUGAUCGGCCACACUGGAACUGAGACACGGUCCAGACUCCUACGGGAGGCAGCAGUAGGGAAUCUUCCGCAAUGGGCGAAAGCCUGACGGAGCAACGCCGCGUGAGUGAUGAAGGUCUUCGGACCGUAAAACUCUGUUAUUAGGGAAGAACAAAUGUGUAAGUAACUAUGCACGUCUUGACGGUACCUAAUCAGAAGGCCACGGCUAACUACGUG
Molecule: ribosomal RNA, 497 nt
Filed under: uncultured bacterium
Lineage: Bacteria
Description: partial 16S ribosomal RNA
Rfam family: Bacterial small subunit ribosomal RNA
Source: RNAcentral